RNAcentral lists this transfer RNA (73 nucleotides) under Apaloderma vittatum (bar-tailed trogon). It matches the Rfam family "tRNA". Rfam says of the family: Transfer RNA (tRNA) molecules are approximately 80 nucleotides in length. Their secondary structure includes four short double-helical elements and three loops (D, anti-codon, and T loops). The record is from Rfam by way of RNAcentral. Lineage: Eukaryota; Metazoa; Chordata; Aves; Trogoniformes; Trogonidae.
GGCCGGUUAGCUCAGUCAGUUGAGCACGGCACUAACAAUGCUAGGGUCGUGGGUUUGAUUCCCAUUCAGUCCC